AUUUGGCCACAGGGAGGUUCAACAUCAAAAAACGAGCCAAUGGGAGAAAUUUUACCUCGUUUAGCAACCGAAAAAUCUUCCAGUGCGACGACAGGUGGCGGCGGCCGAUUCCUCCGGUGGUUGGGUCGUCUUCUCCGGCGAGGGUUCUGGCGGGUAGGGUUUGGGGUUGGGUGUGGAUGCGAUUAUUUAUAACCUUCCCCUUUUAAUCUGAGCUGUCCAUCAUGAUUUAAUCUGCACCAUCCGAUCGCGAUUAAAUUGAAAAUAAAUGUGGGUUGUCCAUCGCGAUGCGAUUUGGACCGUCCGUGUGUGAUCAAAUUUGGGUCGUCCGCACGCGUGAGAUCUGGAUUGUCCGCACGCGCCCUUGAUCUGGGCCGUCCGUGCGCGCGGGAACAGAUCUGGACCGUCCGAUCGCGCGCACAUGGAUCGCCCACGUGGCUCCGUCCCGUGUGGCUCCCU
RNAcentral lists this long non-coding RNA (456 nucleotides) under Carica papaya (papaya). RNAcentral's name for it is "long non-coding RNA (CPAP_LNC011735)". Lineage: Eukaryota; Viridiplantae; Streptophyta; Magnoliopsida; Brassicales; Caricaceae. The record is from RNAcentral.